UACGUAGGGCGCAAGCGUUGUCCGGAAUUAUUGGGCGUAAAGAGCUCGUAGGCGGCCUGUUACGUCUGCUGUGAAAUCCCGGGGCUUAACCCCGGGCGUGCAGUGGAUACGGGCAGGCUGGAGGCAGGCAGGGGAGAACGGAAUUCCCGGUGUAGCGGUGAAAUGCGCAGAUAUCGGGAGGAACACCGGUGGCGAAGGCGGUUCUCUGGGCCUGCACUGACGCUGAGGAGCGAAAGCGUGGGGAGCGAACAGG
This 253-nucleotide ribosomal RNA is filed under the name uncultured bacterium. RNAcentral describes it as "partial 16S ribosomal RNA". It matches the Rfam family "Bacterial small subunit ribosomal RNA", at positions 524 to 776 of the family's 1533-position model. The record is from RNAcentral.